ACGGCGUUCUCGCCGGAUGUAGGAACCGACCCGGGGACCGCCGGGGCAACCCGGCGCCCCCGAGACGGGGCGAACCACGGUGAAAAUGACGGAUCGUCGGCCCCGCGCCGGCGACUCGCCGAAUGAGUUUCUGACCUAUCAACUCGAGACGGCGGGGUAGAGGCCCGCCGCGGUAACGACGGGUAACGGGGAAUCAGGGUUCGAUUCCGGAGAGGGAGCCCGAGAAACGGCUACCACUUCCAAGGAAGGCAGCAGGCGCGCAACUUACCCUAAUCUCGAUUCGAGGAGGUAGUGACAAGAAAUACCGAUGCGGGACCCUACGGGUGCCGCGUUCGGAAUGAGUACGAUUCGAACCACCUAACGAGGAACGAUCGGAGGGCAAGUCUGGUGCCAGCAGCCGCGGUAAUUCCAGCUCCAAUAGCGUAC
This 426-nucleotide ribosomal RNA is filed under the name uncultured eukaryote. RNAcentral's name for it is "bacterial SSU rRNA". It matches the Rfam family "Eukaryotic small subunit ribosomal RNA", at positions 198 to 601 of the family's 1831-position model. The record is from RNAcentral.